GCCAGGUGCAGUGGCAUGUGCCUGUAGUCCCAGCUACUCGGGAGGCGGAGGCUGAGGCUGGAGGAUCGCUUGAGUCCAGGAGUUCUGGGCUGUGGUGCACUAUGCCAGUCGGGUGUCCACACUAAGUUCGGCAUCAAUAUGGUGACCUGCUGGGAGCGGGGGACCACUAGGUUGCCUAAGGAGGGGUGAACCGGAGCAGGUCAAAACUCCCGUGCUGAUCAGCAGUGGGAUCGCACCUGUGAAUAGCCACUGCACUCCAGCCUGGGCAACAUAGCGAGAACUCGUCUCUU
Unclassified non-coding RNA from Callithrix jacchus (white-tufted-ear marmoset), 290 nucleotides. It matches the Rfam family "Metazoan signal recognition particle RNA". From Rfam's summary of the family: The signal recognition particle (SRP) is a universally conserved ribonucleoprotein. It is involved in the co-translational targeting of proteins to membranes. The record is from Ensembl. NCBI's taxonomy places the organism in Eukaryota, Metazoa, Chordata, Mammalia, Primates, Cebidae.